This 253-nucleotide ribosomal RNA is filed under the name uncultured bacterium. Its description in RNAcentral is "partial 16S ribosomal RNA". It matches the Rfam family "Bacterial small subunit ribosomal RNA", at positions 524 to 776 of the family's 1533-position model. The record is from RNAcentral.
UACGUAGGGUGCGAGCGUUGUCCGGAAUUAUUGGGCGUAAAGAGCUCGUAGGCGGCUUGUCGCGUCGGAUGUGAAAGCCCGGGGCUUAACUCCGGGUCUGCAUUCGAUACGGGCAGGCUAGAGUUCGGUAGGGGAGAUCGGAAUUCCUGGUGUAGCGGUGAAAUGCGCAGAUAUCAGGAGGAACACCAGUGGCGAAGGCGGAUCUCUGGGCCGAUACUGACGCUGAGGAGCGAAAGCGUGGGGAGCGAACAGG